RNAcentral lists this small RNA (1077 nucleotides) under Helotiales sp. 1 MK-2015. Its description in RNAcentral is "eukaryotic LSU rRNA". The stretch from base 515 to 1077 matches the Rfam family "Eukaryotic large subunit ribosomal RNA", at positions 1 to 573 of the family's 3401-position model. Lineage: Eukaryota; Fungi; Ascomycota; Leotiomycetes; Helotiales. The record is from RNAcentral.
UGAACCUGCGGAAGGAUCAUUAACCAUUGGAUACCUUCGGGUAUAUCCCAUCCGUGUCUACAUACUCUUGUUGCUUUGGCAGGCCGUGGUCUCCCACUGUGGGCUCUGCCUGCAUGUGCCUGCCAGAGGACCAAACUCUGAAUUUUAGUGAUGUCUGAGUACUAUAUAAUAGUUAAAACUUUCAACAACGGAUCUCUUGGUUCUGGCAUCGAUGAAGAACGCAGCGAAAUGCGAUAAGUAAUGUGAAUUGCAGAAUUCAGUGAAUCAUCGAAUCUUUGAACGCACAUUGCACCCGGUGGUAUUCCGCCGGGUAUGCCUGUUCGAGCGUCAUUAUAACCACUCAAGCCUGUCUUGGUGUUGGGGUUGCGAAUCUUUGCAGCCCUUGAGUCCCGUAGCGCCACCUGUGGGUCCUAAGCGUAGUAAUUUCUCCUCGCUAUAGAGCCCGCUCGGGGAUAGGUAUAAUUCGUAGCCUAGUUCUAUGUGUCCCGCUAUAAAACCCCCAAUUUUUUAAGGUUGACCUCGGAUCAAGUAGGGAUACCCGCUGAACUUAAGCAUAUCAAUAAGCGGAGGAAAAGAAACCAACAGGGAUUACCUUAGUAACGGCGAGUGAAGCGGUAAAUGCUCAAAUUUGAAAGCUGCCAACAGGCCGCGUUGUAAUUUGUAGAAGAUGCUUUGGGUGUCGGCCCAGUCUAAGUUCCUUGGAACAGGACGUCAUAGAGGGUGAGAAUCCCGUAUGUGAUUGGUGCCGUCCCCCGUGUAAAGCUCUUUCGACGAGUCGAGUUGUUUGGGAAUGCAGCUCAAAAUGGGUGGUAAAUUUCAUCUAAAGCUAAAUAUUGGCCAGAGACCGAUAGCGCACAAGUAGAGUGAUCGAAAGAUGAAAAGCACUUUGGAAAGAGAGUUAAACAGUACGUGAAAUUGUUGAAAGGGAAGCGCUUGCAAUCAGACUUGCAGGCGGUCGAUCAUCCGAGGUUCUCCCCGGUGCACUCGAUCGUCUUCAGGCCAGCAUCGGUUUCCGUGGUGGGAUAAAGGCUGUGAGAACGUGGCUCUUCGGAGUGUUAUAGCUCACGGUGCAAUGCC